GCGCCUGUAGCUCAGUGGUUAGAGCAUCCGACUCAUAAUCGGCAGGUCGUAGGUUCAAGUCCUACCAGGCGCACCA
This 76-nucleotide transfer RNA is filed under the name Methanobacteriota archaeon. RNAcentral describes it as "Euryarchaeota archaeon (freshwater metagenome) tRNA-Met". It matches the Rfam family "tRNA". Rfam says of the family: Transfer RNA (tRNA) molecules are approximately 80 nucleotides in length. Their secondary structure includes four short double-helical elements and three loops (D, anti-codon, and T loops). The record is from RNAcentral. RNAcentral also lists the same sequence under 1 other name. Lineage: Archaea; Methanobacteriati; Methanobacteriota.